RNAcentral lists this ribosomal RNA (490 nucleotides) under uncultured bacterium. Its description in RNAcentral is "partial 16S ribosomal RNA". It matches the Rfam family "Bacterial small subunit ribosomal RNA", at positions 29 to 507 of the family's 1533-position model. The record is from RNAcentral.
AGUGAACGCUGGCGGUAGGCCUAACACAUGCAAGUCGAACGGCAGCACAGUAAGAGCUUGCUCUUACGGGUGGCGAGUGGCGGACGGGUGAGGAAUACAUCGGAAUCUACUUUUUCGUGGGGGAUAACGUAGGGAAACUUACGCUAAUACCGCAUACGACCUACGGGUGAAAGCAGGGGAUCUUCGGACCUUGCGCGAUUGAAUGAGCCGAUGUCGGAUUAGCUAGUUGGCGGGGUAAAGGCCCACCAAGGCGACGAUCCGUAGCUGGUCUGAGAGGAUGAUCAGCCACACUGGAACUGAGACACGGUCCAGACUCCUACGGGAGGCAGCAGUGGGGAAUAUUGGACAAUGGGCGCAAGCCUGAUCCAGCCAUACCGCGUGGGUGAAGAAGGCCUUCGGGUUGUAAAGCCCUUUUGGGGAAAGAAAAGCAGCAGGUUAAUACCCCGCUGUUCUGACGGUACCCAAAGAAUAAGCACCGGCUAACUUCGUG